RNAcentral lists this unclassified non-coding RNA (352 nucleotides) under soil metagenome. RNAcentral's name for it is "partial contains 5.8S ribosomal RNA, internal transcribed spacer 2, and large subunit ribosomal RNA". The stretch from base 2 to 121 matches the Rfam family "5.8S ribosomal RNA", at positions 35 to 154 of the family's 154-position model. The record is from RNAcentral.
GGAUGAAGAACGUAGCGAAAUGCGAUACGUAAUGUGAAUUGCAGAAUUCAGUGAAUCAUCGAGUCUUUGAACGCACAUUGCGCCCCCUGGUAUUCCGGGGGGCAUGCCUGUCCGAGCGUCAUUGCUGCCCAUCAAGCACGGCUUGUGUGUUGGGUCGUCGUCCCCUCUCCGGGGGGGACGGGCCCCAAAGGCAGCGGCGGCACCGCGUCCGAUCCUCGAGCGUAUGGGGCUUUGUCACCCGCUCUGUAGGCCCGGCCGGCGCUUGCCGAACGCAAAACAACCAUUUUUUCCAGGUUGACCUCGGAUCAGGUAGGGAUACCCGCUGAACUUAAGCAUAUCAAUAAGCGGAGGA